CCCAGUAAGGGUGACAUGGUACAGGGGUGGGCGGGGUUUAGAGAUGGAGGGCGGGGUUUAGAGAUGGAGGGCGGGGUUAGAGAUGGAGGACGGGUUUAGAGACGGAGGGCGGGGUUAGAGAUGGAGGGCAGGUUUAGAGACAGAGGGCGGGGUUAGAGAUGGAGGGCGGGGUUAAAGAUGCAGGGCAGGGUUAGAGAUGGAGGGCGGGGUUAGAGAUGGAGGACGGGUUUAGAGACGGAGGGCGGGGUUAGAGAUGGAGGGCGGGGUUUGAGAUGGAGGGCGGAGUUAGAGAUGGAGGGCGG
Molecule: long non-coding RNA, 302 nt
Organism: Oncorhynchus keta (chum salmon)
Lineage: Eukaryota; Metazoa; Chordata; Actinopteri; Salmoniformes; Salmonidae
Exons: 3
Source: RefSeq, a predicted model, not a curated record